AGCAGCCGCGGUAAUUCCAGCUCCAAUAGCGUAUAUUAAAGUUGUUGCAGUUAAAAAGCUCGUAGUUGAAUUUCGGGGUUAGUAGGUUGGUCAUGCCUCUGGUAUGUACUGGUCUCACUGAUUCCUCCUUCCUGAUGAACCGUAAUGCCAUUAAUUUGGUGUUGCGGGGAAUUUGGACUGUUACUUUGAAAAAAUUAGAGUGUUUAAAGCAAGCUAACGCUUGAAUACAUUAGCAUGGAAUAAUGAAAUAGGACGUUCGAUCCUAUUUUGUUGGUUUCUAGGAUUGACGUAAUGAUUAAUAGGGAUAGUUGGGGGCAUUAGUAUUCAAUUGUCAGAGGUGAAAUUCUUGGAUUUAUUGAAGACUAACUACUGCGAAAGCAUUUGCCAAGGAUGUUUUCAUUAAUCAAGAACGAAAGUUAGGGGAUCGAAGACGAUCAGAUACCGUCGUAGUCUUAACCAUAAACUAUGCUGACUAGGGAUCGGAUGAUGUUAAUUUUUUAAUGACUCAUUCGGCGCCUUA
RNAcentral lists this small RNA (520 nucleotides) under uncultured Glomus. RNAcentral's name for it is "SSU rRNA". It matches the Rfam family "Eukaryotic small subunit ribosomal RNA", at positions 569 to 1090 of the family's 1831-position model. Lineage: Eukaryota; Fungi; Glomeromycota; Glomeromycetes; Glomerales; Glomeraceae. The record is from RNAcentral.